AAUGGACUCUCCCUCUCUCAUUUUGUGGAGGCUGACUUUGUAUUUUGGGAUCAGACUUCUAGGACUGGCAUGUAUUCUAGUCUUGUGGGGAACCCUUUGUGUGUGGGUCUCAGCUGCCCCUCUUAAAUUGACUCUGAUAUUAAGUAUAGGUAAUAAACUCUUCCUCUCUUAUUUUCUCGGUCUGUGGAGGCUGACUUUCUAUUUUAAGAGCAUCAGAUUUCUAGGACUGGCAUGUAUUCUAGUCUUGUGGGGAACCCUUUGUGUGUGGGUCUCAGCUGCCCCUUUUAAACUGAGUCUGAUAUUAACUUAAGUAUAGGUGAUAAACUUUUCCUCUCUUAUUUUCUCAGUCUGUGGAGGCUGACUUGCUAUUCUAGGAGCAGAAAAUCCUUCUCACAGGCAGUUACUCUUGUCUUGUGGGGGAGCUUUUGUGUGUGGGUCCCAGCUUUCCCUCUUAAAUCUGGCUCUGAUAUUAACUUAAGUAUAAAGAACAGACCCUUCCUCUCUAACUCUUUCAUUUUGUGGAGGCUGACUUUUUAUCAUAGGAGCAGAAAAUUCUAUCUCUGGCAGGGAUAUUGAAUUAGGGGACUCAGUGUGUGGGUCCCAGCUUCCCCUCUUAAAUCUGGCUCUGAUAUUAACUUAAGUAUAAAGAACAGACCCUUCCUCUCUUACUCUUUCAUUUUGUGGAGGCUGACUUUUUAUCAUAGGAGCAAAAAAAAUCUUAUCACUGGCAGUUACUCUAGUAUUGUGGGGGAGACUCAGUGUGUGGAUCUCAACUUCCCCUCUUACACUGGCUCUGAUAUUAACUUAAGUAUAAAGAAUAGACCCUUCCUCUCUAACUCUUUCAUUUCUUUUUAUCAUAGGAGCAGAAAAUUCUUGACUUAGGGGAUUCAGUGUGUGGGUCCCAGCUUCCCCUCUUAAAUCUGGCACUGAUAUUAACUUAAGUAUAAAGAACAGACCCUUCCUCUCUAACUCUUUCAUUUUGUGGAGGCUGACUUUUUAUCAUAGGAGCAGAAAAUCCUAAUCACUGGCGGUUACAUUUGUAUUGUGGGGGAGCCUUUGUGUGUGGGUCUCAACUUCCCCUCUUAAAUUGACUCUGAUAUUAACUUAAGUAUAAAGAAUAGACCCUUCCUCUCUAACUCUUUCAUUUCUUUUUAUCAUAAGAGCAAAAAAAAAAUCUCACUGGCAAUUACUCUUGUGUUGUGGGGGAGCCUUUAUAUGGGGUCCCAGCUGCCCCUCUUAAAUCUGGCUCUGAUAUUAAGUCAUGUUAAGUAAAGACUGUUCUUCUCUCAUCCAGACAAUCUGCUUAUGAAUCACAGAUGUGCCAACACUCUAAUCUUAUCUUAUCUAAAUCUCAGUAAACAUAAGGAAUAAACUCUUCCUCUCUUCCUCUCUUAUCCCUCUGAUUCACUUAUUAAGGGAGAAUCAUAUACAAAGAUUACUGGCCAUAUAUCAUGCUCUCCUUUACCAAGAUUGAGGUGUCAUUAAUUUCUAACUGUAAAACCAUCAGCAACUUAUGAUCUCCUCUUUGCCUUUGUUGAAUACCACAUACUUCAAAUCCAAUUACAGGUAGUACUUGUUUCUGGCAUGUUUGGCUCAUACAAUUGCAUACCGCCCACACAGUAUGACAGAAGGCACGUGAUAUAUCUAUGUGUGAAUGAAUAAAUUACACAUGAUUACUAAAUGAUCGGAAAUAAAUUAAUAAAUACAAUAAAAGAUAUGAUACAACUUUUUUUUUCUAGCAGCGUUUAACAUUGCUCUGACUCCUUGUGUUCUGAAGCAUUAGGCUGUGUCCCCACAGGCAUGGCUUACAGAUAAAAUAAUGAAUGAAUAAAAGAAAGUGAACAACCAUUGGUCACCAUCACCCACCACCACCAUCACCACCACCCACUUGUAUACUGACAAAGGCACGCUGGAGGGCCAAGAAAAGCCUCAAGAAAGUAUGAAACAAGUAAAAUUUGAAUCUUCCUGGUUCCAACACACACACACACACACACACACAUACACACA
Long non-coding RNA from Eriocheir sinensis (Chinese mitten crab), 2007 nucleotides. RefSeq lists it as uncharacterized. The transcript has 2 exons. NCBI's taxonomy places the organism in Eukaryota, Metazoa, Arthropoda, Malacostraca, Decapoda, Varunidae. The record is from RefSeq and is a predicted model, not a curated record.